UGGCGGACGGGUGAGUAACGCGUGGAAAACCUGCCGUAUACUGGGGGAUAACACUUAGAAAUAGGUGCUAAUACCGCAUAAGCGCACAGCUUCGCAUUGAAGCGGUGUGAAAAACUCUGGUGGUAUACGAUGGUUCCGCGUCUGAUUAGCUAGUUGGUGGGGUAAUGGCCUACCAAGGCAACGAUCAGUAGCCGGCCUGAGAGGGUGAACGGCCACAUUGGGACUGAGACACGGCCCAAACUCCUACGGGAGGCAGCAG
Molecule: ribosomal RNA, 259 nt
Filed under: uncultured bacterium
Lineage: Bacteria
Description: partial 16S ribosomal RNA
Rfam family: Bacterial small subunit ribosomal RNA
Source: RNAcentral